This 32-nucleotide non-coding RNA is filed under the name Mus musculus (house mouse). Lineage: Eukaryota; Metazoa; Chordata; Mammalia; Rodentia; Muridae. The record is from RNAcentral.
UGUACCGAUGGGCCGAUGGGUCAAAGGAGGUU